GAGACAGCAGCCGCCGCGGGAAAACAGAGGGUGCAAGCGUUAAUCGGAAUUACUGGGCGUAAAGCGCGCGUAGGUGGUUUGUUAAGUUGGAUGUGAAAGCCCCGGGCUCAACCUGGGAACUGCAUCCAAAACUGGCAAGCUAGAGUACGGUAGAGGGUGGUGGAAUUUCCUGUGUAGCGGUGAAAUGCGUAGAUAUAGGAAGGAACACCAGUGGCGAAGGCGACCACCUGGACUGAUACUGACACUGAGGUGCGAAAGCGUGGGGAGCAAACAGGAUUAGAGACCCGCGUAGUCCCUGUCUCUUAUAC
RNAcentral lists this ribosomal RNA (308 nucleotides) under uncultured bacterium. Its description in RNAcentral is "partial 16S ribosomal RNA". It matches the Rfam family "Bacterial small subunit ribosomal RNA", at positions 505 to 807 of the family's 1533-position model. The record is from RNAcentral.